This is a long non-coding RNA of Astatotilapia calliptera (eastern happy), 305 nucleotides long. NCBI's taxonomy places the organism in Eukaryota, Metazoa, Chordata, Actinopteri, Cichliformes, Cichlidae. The record is from Ensembl.
GAUGGGUAUAUAUUCUCUAAAACUUACAGGAGGGGGUUGUGAGGAAAGUGCUGCAUUAGCAGAAAAACAACUCCAUAAAAGGAAAUCGGCCUUGGGUUCUCUUCGCUUGCAGAUAUCUUUCACCUGCAGGAUGAGGCGAUCGCUUCUUAUCGCUCUCAAGGCCAAAGUCGUGAGCACAUUUUUAUUACACAGUUGCACAGUAACUUUAAAGCUGAACAAUAUUUAAAGCUGAAUAAUGUUUAAAGCUGAACAAUAUUUAAAGCUGAAUAAUGUUUAAAGCUGAACAAUAUUUAAAGCUGAAUAAU